UGAAACUGAUCUUCCCGUGAAGAAGCGGGAAUAUAUAUAUAAGACGAGAAGACCCCAUGGAGCUUUAAACCCAACAGCACCUAUUCUUUUUAAGCCCGCCCAUUCAUAUAGUAAAUGCUUGUUUGGUUUUAGGUUGGGGUGACCGCGGAGUAAAAAUUAACCUCCACGAAAAAAGGCAUAAAAGCCUUAUCAAAGAAUUACACUUCUAUGAAUUAGUAAACUAAUUUUUGAUGAUCCGAUAUUCGAUCAACGAACCAAGUUACCCUGGGGAUAACAGCGCAAUCCACCUCAAGAGCUCCUAUCGACAAGUGGGUUUACGACCUCGAUGUUGGAUCAGGGUACCCCAGUGGUGCAGCAGCUACUAAAGGUUCGUUUGUUCAACGAUUAAAACCCU
RNAcentral lists this ribosomal RNA (394 nucleotides) under Boophis majori. Its description in RNAcentral is "partial 16S ribosomal RNA". It matches the Rfam family "Bacterial large subunit ribosomal RNA", at positions 2037 to 2597 of the family's 2925-position model. Lineage: Eukaryota; Metazoa; Chordata; Amphibia; Anura; Mantellidae. The record is from RNAcentral.